This 775-nucleotide ribosomal RNA is filed under the name uncultured Neocallimastigales. RNAcentral's name for it is "partial large subunit ribosomal RNA". It matches the Rfam family "Eukaryotic large subunit ribosomal RNA", at positions 26 to 639 of the family's 3401-position model. Lineage: Eukaryota; Fungi; Neocallimastigomycota; Neocallimastigomycetes; Neocallimastigales. The record is from RNAcentral.
CGUCUAUAUACGUAUAGCAUAUCAAUAAGCGGAGGAAAAGAAACUAACAAGGAUUCCCCUAGUAACGGCGAGUGAAGCGGGAAGAGCUCAAGUUUGAAAUCUUCAAGGGUUUCCCUUGACGAAUUGUAGUUUAAAGAAGUGUUUUCUGUUAGAGAGGUGGUAAAAGUUCUUUGGAAUAGGACAUCAUAGAGGGUGAGAAUCCCGUAUUUGAUCACUUCCUACUAACGUUGUGAUACACUUUCAAAGAGUCGGAUUGUUUGGGAAUGCAGUCCAAAAUGGGUGGUAAAUUUCAUCUAAAGCUAAAUAUUGGCGAGAGACCGAUAGCGAACAAGUACCGUGAGGGAAAGAUGAAAAGAACUUUGAAAAGAGAGUUAAACAGUACGUGAAAUUGUCAAAAGGGAAGCGUUUGACACCAGUGUUGUUUUUUCCGAAAAUCAAUUAUGAGUGGCUUGAUUUUAAGUUUCAUGACCUUAAAAGCUUGUUUCUUAUUUUUCAUGUCUUCCGUAAUGCACUUUUCGGUUAACAAGUCAACAUCAAUUUCUUUUGUUGUAAAAGGUUAAGAGGAAGGUGGCUUUACUUUCGGGUAAAGUGUUUAUAGCCUUUUAACUCUGCAAUCGGAGAGAUUGAGGUCUGCAGCGUAGAUCCUUCGGGGUUAGAUACAUUUGUGCUAAGUUAUAGCUUUUCAUAGACAACUUGUUGACUAUGUUAAGUCUUGUAAUUUACUCGCAGAUGCUAUUUUACCUACGCUUAGGAUGUUGACGCGCGUGUGUGCGUG